Molecule: transfer RNA, 62 nt
Filed under: Chrysochroa fulgidissima
Lineage: Eukaryota; Metazoa; Arthropoda; Insecta; Coleoptera; Buprestidae
Description: tRNA-Cys
Source: RNAcentral
GGUCUUGUAUUCAAUAUAUGAUUUUAGAUUGCAAAUCUAAAGGUGGUUAUUCCCAAGGCUUA